Serinus canaria (Common canary) is the source of this 433-nucleotide long non-coding RNA. RefSeq lists it as uncharacterized. NCBI's taxonomy places the organism in Eukaryota, Metazoa, Chordata, Aves, Passeriformes, Fringillidae. The record is from RefSeq and is a predicted model, not a curated record. The transcript has 2 exons.
UGCAGCCGCUGCGCCAGCUCCACCUUCAGCCCGCGGGCGUCCAGGCCGCGCCGGCCCAGCUCGGCCCGCAGCUCGGUCACCUUCAGCCGCUUCACGUCCAUGGCGGGGCCGAUUCACCCUGCAAGCGGCGAAAUGAUGGAGUUUAUCCUGAGGGAGGAGCGCGGGGAAGGCGCCGCCAUUUUGCGGAGCGCUGUGAGGAGGGACAAGGACGGCCAGGACCGACCCCACAUAUAAACGCAUUGUGUAGUGCAAUGAGAAGUUUACGAAAUCAUUAAAUCUUUUUUUCACCAAGCAAAGGUCCCCGGUGGGGGUGCACCGUUCCCGGAGGCACUGCAAUACCGGGACGAUGCGUGGAGCGGAGGGAGCAAGCUCCGGAUCCAACUCCCGAGCCCAAAAAUCCGUUUAAUAUAAAGUCCUCUCAUCGAGGACGUAU